This 957-nucleotide small RNA is filed under the name uncultured Vermispora. RNAcentral's name for it is "eukaryotic LSU rRNA". The stretch from base 673 to 957 matches the Rfam family "Eukaryotic large subunit ribosomal RNA", at positions 1 to 281 of the family's 3401-position model. The record is from RNAcentral. Lineage: Eukaryota; Fungi; Ascomycota; Orbiliomycetes; Orbiliales; Orbiliaceae.
CUUGGUCAUUUAGAGGAAGUAAAAGUCGUAACAAGGUUUCCGUAGGUGAACCUGCGGAAGGAUCAUUACUAUUCAGCCGUCUGCUGCCCGUGUGGCGUAGGCUGGCAGAAACCGACACCUCUCCGCCCCGCCCCCCUCCCAGGGGAAAGGGUGUGACUGUGUUAAACCCUUUGUGAACCUUCUCUUUUGCUUCGGCAGCACGUACUGCGGGUAACCGCAGGACGGUAGGGCUGUCAGAAGCCUCUUAUUAAACCAGUUGAUUGAAGUCAUGCUGUCUGAGAACUUAUGAAUUUUAAAUCAUAUUAAAACUUUCAGCAACGGAUCUCUUGGUUCUCGCAUCGAUGAAGAACGCAGCGAAACGCGAUAGGUAAUGUGAAUUGCAGAAUUCCGUGAAUCAUCGAAUCUUUGAACGCACAUUGCGCCUUCUGGUAUUCCGGGAGGCAUGUCUGUUUGAGCGUCAGCAAAACCCUCGGUCUAACGGUUUGUUAACAAGCCGACUGACCGGUAAUGGGCUUUGGGAGCGGGCCUUCCGGUCUCUCCCUGCCUUAAACCUGCUGCACGACCGCAAGCAAUUGCAACGGUUAAUGGAGUGGUGUUACAUAUCUUCCAUACAAGCCUUAGCUACCGCUUCAGCGGCGUUAAACCUAUGUUGCUUAACCGCGACCGAACGUUUGACCUCAGAUCAGAUAAGGAUACCCGCUGAACUUAAGCAUAUCAAUAAGCGGAGGAAAAGAAACCAACAGGGAUUGCCUCAGUAACGGCGAGUGAAGCGGCAAGUGCUCAGAUUUGAAAUCUGGUAUGCUUUGCGUACCCGAGUUGUAAUCUGGAGAGAAGUCUUCGGCCCAGGCACCGGUCCAGAUUCCUUGGAACAGGAUGACAUAGAGGGUGAGAACCCCGUAUCCGGCUGGCCGCCAAAGCCAUGUGAAGCUUCUUCGACGAGUCGAGUUGUUUGGGAAU